RNAcentral lists this ribosomal RNA (2057 nucleotides) under Campylobacter jejuni. Its description in RNAcentral is "partial 23S ribosomal RNA". It matches the Rfam family "Bacterial large subunit ribosomal RNA", at positions 1 to 2062 of the family's 2925-position model. Lineage: Bacteria; Pseudomonadati; Campylobacterota; Epsilonproteobacteria; Campylobacterales; Campylobacteraceae. The record is from RNAcentral.
AGGUAAGCUACUAAGAGCGAAUGGUGGAUGCCUUGACUGGUAAAGGCGAUGAAGGACGUACUAGACUGCGAUAAGCUACGGGGAGCUGUCAAGAAGCUUUGAUCCGUAGAUUUCCGAAUGGGGCAACCCAAUGUAUAGAGAUAUACAUUACCUAUAUAGGAGCGAACGAGGGGAAUUGAAACAUCUUAGUACCCUCAGGAAAAGAAAUCAAUAGAGAUUGCGUCAGUAGCGGCGAGCGAAAGCGCAAGAGGGCAAACCCAGUGCUUGCACUGGGGGUUGUAGGACUGCAAUGUGCAAGAGCUGAGUUUAGCAGAACAUUCUGGAAAGUAUAGCCAUAGAGGGUGAUAGUCCCGUAUGCGAAAAACAAAGCUUAGCUAGCAGUAUCCUGAGUAGGGCGGGACACGAGGAAUCCUGUCUGAAUCCGGGUCGACCACGAUCCAACCCUAAAUACUAAUACCAGAUCGAUAGUGCACAAGUACCGUGAGGGAAAGGUGAAAAGAACUGAGGUGAUCAGAGUGAAAUAGAACCUGAAACCAUUUGCUUACAAUCAUUCAGAGCCCUAUGUAGCAAUACAGGGUGAUGGACUGCCUUUUGCAUAAUGAGCCUGCGAGUUGUGGUGUCUGGCAAGGUUAAGCAAACGCGAAGCCGUAGCGAAAGCGAGUCUGAAUAGGGCGCUUAGUCAGAUGCUGCAGACCCGAAACGAAGUGAUCUAUCCAUGAGCAAGUUGAAGCUAGUGUAAGAACUAGUGGAGGACUGAACCCAUAGGCGUUGAAAAGCCCCGGGAUGACUUGUGGAUAGGGGUGAAAGGCCAAUCAAACUUCGUGAUAGCUGGUUCUCUCCGAAAUAUAUUUAGGUAUAGCGUUGUGUCGUAAUAUAAGGGGGUAGAGCACUGAAUGGGCUAGGGCAUACACCAAUGUACCAAACCCUAUCAAACUCCGAAUACCUUAUAUGUAAUCACAGCAGUCAGGCGGCGAGUGAUAAAAUCCGUCGUCAAGAGGGAAACAACCCAGACUACCAGCUAAGGUCCCUAAAUCUUACUUAAGUGGAAAACGAUGUGAAGUUACUUAAACAACCAGGAGGUUGGCUUAGAAGCAGCCAUCCUUUAAAGAAAGCGUAAUAGCUCACUGGUCUAGUGAUUUUGCGCGGAAAAUAUAACGGGGCUAAAGUAAGUACCGAAGCUGUAGACUUAGUUUACUAAGUGGUAGGAGAGCGUUCUAUUUGCGUCGAAGGUAUACCGGUAAGGAGUGCUGGAGCGAAUAGAAGUGAGCAUGCAGGCAUGAGUAGCGAUAAUUAAUGUGAGAAUCAUUAACGCCGUAAACCCAAGGUUUCCUACGCGAUGCUCGUCAUCGUAGGGUUAGUCGGGUCCUAAGUCGAGUCCGAAAGGGGUAGACGAUGGCAAAUUGGUUAAUAUUCCAAUACCAACAUUAGUGUGCGAUGGAAGGACGCUUAGGGCUAAGGGGGCUAGCGGAUGGAAGUGCUAGUCUAAGGUCGUAGGAGGUUAUACAGGCAAAUCCGUAUAACAAUACUCCGAGAACUGAAAGGCUUUUUGAAGUCUUCGGAUGGAUAGAAGAACCCCUGAUGCCGUCGAGCCAAGAAAAGUUUCUAAGUUUAGCUAAUGUUGCCCGUACCGUAAACCGACACAGGUGGGUGGGAUGAGUAUUCUAAGGCGCGUGGAAGAACUCUCUUUAAGGAACUCUGCAAAAUAGCACCGUAUCUUCGGUAUAAGGUGUGGUUAGCUUUGUAUUAGGAUUUACUCCGAAAGCAAGGAAACUUACAACAAAGAGUCCCUCCCGACUGUUUACCAAAAACACAGCACUCUGCUAACUCGUAAGAGGAUGUAUAGGGUGUGACGCCUGCCCGGUGCUCGAAGGUUAAUUGAUGGGGUUAGCAUUAGCGAAGCUCUUGAUCGAAGCCCGAGUAAACGGCGGCCGUAACUAUAACGGUCCUAAGGUAGCGAAAUUCCUUGUCGGUUAAAUACCGACCUGCAUGAAUGGCGUAACGAGAUGGGAGCUGUCUCAAAGAGGGAUCCAGUGAAAUUGUAGUGGAGGUGAAAAUUC